AGAGAGAGACAUGCGCGCAUAUCAAUAAGCGGAGGAAAAGAAACUAACUAGGAUUCCCUCAGUAACGGCGAGUGAAGCGGGAAGAGCUCAAAUUUGAAAUCUUCAAGGUUCUACCUUGACGAAUUGUAGUUUAAAGAAGUGUUUUCUGUUGGAAUUUUGGUAAAAGUUCUUUGGAAAUAGGACAUCAUAAGAGGGUGAGAAUCCCGUAUUUGACCAUUAUUUCCAGCUUUGUGAUACACUUUCAAAGAGUCGGAUUGUUUGGGAAUGCAGUCCAAAAUGGGUGGUAAAUUUCAUCUAAAGCUAAAUACUGGCGAGAGACCGAUAGCGAACAAGUACCGUGAGGGAAAGAUGAAAAGAACUUUGAAAAGAGAGUUAAACAGUACGUGAAAUUGUCAAAAGGGAAGCGUUUGACACCAGUGUUGUUUUCUCGAAAAUCAAUUAAAAAAUGGUGGAUUUUGUGUUGUAUUGACUUUAUCAGCUUUCUGCACUUUUUUCCUGUCUUUUUUAAUGCACUUUUCGUUUAACAAGUCAACAUCAAUUUCUUUUGUUGUAAAAGGGUCAUUGGAAGGUGGCUUUCUUUUCGGAGAAAGUGUUUAUAGCCUUUGAGCCUCUGCAACCGGAGAGACUGAGGUCUGCAGCGUAGACUCUUCGGGGUUAGAUACAUUUGUGCUAAGUUAUAGCCUUUCAUAGACAACUUGUUGACUAUGAUCAGUCAUGUAGCUUACUCGCUUAUGCUGUUUUACCUACGCUUAGGAUGUUGACAGCAGUAUAGACUGU
Molecule: ribosomal RNA, 777 nt
Filed under: uncultured Neocallimastigales
Lineage: Eukaryota; Fungi; Neocallimastigomycota; Neocallimastigomycetes; Neocallimastigales
Description: partial large subunit ribosomal RNA
Rfam family: Eukaryotic large subunit ribosomal RNA
Source: RNAcentral